AUAUUCUUAAACGGUCAAGUUGUGCUGUUUCAACUGUCCAAACCUAAGGUGCAUGCGCUGCUUGUAGUCGGUAAGCAAGAAUCUCUUAUUCAGGACUUCAUGCAUUUCAACCCAAGUAGUAACUAAACCAAUGACUCGGGUUCGAUUUCGUUGUUGUUGCUUGAUUCACCAGACUCGAGCUGUGCCUUUCAAUUUAGCUUUUGCAAAUAAUACUUUUUUG
Telopea speciosissima is the source of this 220-nucleotide long non-coding RNA. RefSeq lists it as uncharacterized. The transcript has 3 exons. NCBI's taxonomy places the organism in Eukaryota, Viridiplantae, Streptophyta, Magnoliopsida, Proteales, Proteaceae. The record is from RefSeq and is a predicted model, not a curated record.